CGAACUAAGCGUAAACAGUAAUUUCAACAAAAAGAAUUCUCAAAAGGCACAACUGAUAAAACCAAACCUAAGCGGUAAUCACAGUGAGUCCAUCAAACACAAAAUUUAAUGAGAAUAGAUUAACCUUAUAAACAUCUAAACCAAACUGAUUCAGAAUUAUAAACAUUUAAUAACAGAAGCAAAAUAAGACAUGUAGCAGAGAAAGAUUCAAAUUAAAUAAAAUUAAAUAGACAAUAGAAAAAUCAAGAAAAGAACAUGAAAAGGAAGCUUUCUUUAAUAUAUGAGAAAUAAAGCUUUUGAAAUAGCUUCACAAAAGUGAAAAUCCGCACGAAGAAGACGGAAAAUCAUAGCUCAACAACAGGUCAUAGCAAGAUCAACAGCACUCAGGUAACAGAGCCUCGACACGAUUAAUAGAGAAGCUUCGGAGCUUCAACAAUGGCAUUUUUUAGAGGUAUUUCCGCUGGUUUUGAGUUGGUUUUUGUGAUGGCUUAUCAGAGGAGGCGAAAGAGGUUAUUGACAAGUUGAAGGUUGGUUUUUCGAAUUCUCUUCAAUGGAGGUGACUAGCCGCUAUUCGCGAGGAAGAAGGAGGCCAGCCGUGGCUGUCUUUCUCCAUGAGAAAUGAGAGAUCUGGUUCUUUUGGGGCGGCGGCUCGGCGGAAGCUUGAGGGGUUUGGCGGAUUUGAAAUGACGAGAGGUAAGGAAGAAGAAAACCAAAAUGGGGAAGCGGCGUUCUGUCCUUUUUUUAAGGGCAGGGUCUGAUCUAGGUCUAGACAUGGGGAAAAAAUCAGAUUCCCCUCUUUUAGGUUGUGAGAAUUGAUAUUUGGAUAGUGGGUUGAGAUUGUAUGAGUAUGGGUAAUUUGGGAUUUUUCUGCUUCAAAUGAAGCUAGCCCAGAUGAAAUUGAAAGACCAAAUCUACUUCUUUC
RNAcentral lists this long non-coding RNA (922 nucleotides) under Nicotiana benthamiana. RNAcentral describes it as "long non-coding RNA (NBEN_LNC013293)". Lineage: Eukaryota; Viridiplantae; Streptophyta; Magnoliopsida; Solanales; Solanaceae. The record is from RNAcentral.